CUCAAUGAAAUUCAAUAGCCGCAAUAUUUUGUGCUAAGGUAGCAUAAUCAUUUGUUUUUUAAUUAAAAACUAGAACGAAAGAUUUAACAUUUUUAUUUCUAUCUCAUAUACAUAAAUAUAACUUAUUUUAAAUAUUAAAAAAUAUUUAUUAUUAAAAAAGACGACAAGACCCUAUCGAACUUAACUAAAGUUUAACUGGGGUAGUUAAUUAAAUAUAAUUUUAAUUUAAUCAAAAAAAAAUCUAAUAUAAUUAAAUAAUCAAGUUACCGUAGGGAUAACAGCGUAAUAAUUUUUUCAAGAUCUAAUUCAAAAAAUUGUUUACGACCUCGAUGUUGAAUUAAUAAUCUAUUAAAUGCAAUAAUUUAAUAAUGAGAGUCUGUUCGACUU
RNAcentral lists this ribosomal RNA (387 nucleotides) under Platocoelotes latus. RNAcentral describes it as "partial 16S ribosomal RNA". Lineage: Eukaryota; Metazoa; Arthropoda; Arachnida; Araneae; Agelenidae. The record is from RNAcentral.